This 438-nucleotide ribosomal RNA is filed under the name uncultured bacterium. RNAcentral describes it as "partial 16S ribosomal RNA". It matches the Rfam family "Bacterial small subunit ribosomal RNA", at positions 339 to 795 of the family's 1533-position model. The record is from RNAcentral.
CUACGGGGGGCAGCAGUGAGGAAUAUUCCGCAAUGGGCGAAAGCCUGACGGAGCGACGCCGUGUGUGGGAUGAAGUCCUUCGGGAUGUAAACCACUGUCAGAGGGGAAGAUAUUGACGGUACCCUCAGAGGAAGCCCCGGCUAACUACGUGCCAGCAGCCGCGGUAAUACGUAGGGGGCAAGCGUUGUCCGGAAUCACUGGGCGUAAAGGGCGUGCAGGCGGUCCGGUAAGUCGGGCGUUAAAUGUACAGGCUCAACCUGUAUCCGCGUUCGAUGCUGCCGGACUCGAGAGUGGUAGAGGAAAGCGGAACUUCCGGUGUAGGGGUGAAAUGCGUAGAUAUCGGAAGGAACACCAGUGGCGAAGGCGGCUUUCUGGGCCACUUCUGACGCUGAGACGCGAAAGCCAGGGGAGCAAACGGGAUUAGAUACCCCAGUAGUC